GUGAGGAAUAAGCCACCGAAAGGUGGUCUAAUACUUCAUAAUAUCCAUCUCGUAUGGAUUAAAGCUUUAUGCGCUUUGGGAGGGGCCUGCGUAACAUUAGCUUGUUGGUGAGGUAAAAGCUCACCAAGGCUUCGAUGUUUAACUGGUUUGAGAGGAUGACCAGUCACACUGGGACUGAGAUACGGCCCAGACUCCUACGGGAGGCAGCAGUAAGGAAUCUUCCACAAUGGGGCAACCCUGAUGGAGCAAUACCGCGUGCAGGAUGAAGCGUUUCGGCGUGUAAACUGCUUUUAUCACCGAAGAUUAUGACUGUAGGUGAAGAAUAAGGACCGGCUAACUACGUG
RNAcentral lists this ribosomal RNA (344 nucleotides) under uncultured bacterium. RNAcentral describes it as "bacterial SSU rRNA". It matches the Rfam family "Bacterial small subunit ribosomal RNA", at positions 136 to 507 of the family's 1533-position model. The record is from RNAcentral.